This 460-nucleotide ribosomal RNA is filed under the name uncultured bacterium. RNAcentral describes it as "partial 16S ribosomal RNA". It matches the Rfam family "Bacterial small subunit ribosomal RNA", at positions 338 to 795 of the family's 1533-position model. The record is from RNAcentral.
CCUACGGGUAGCAGCAGUGAGGAAUAUUGGUCAAUGGACGAGAGUCUGAACCAGCCAAGUAGCGUGAAGGAUGACUGCCCUAUGGGUUGUAAACUUCUUUUAUAUGGGAAUAAAACGUUCCACGUGUGGGAUUUUGUAUGUACCAUAUGAAUAAGGAUCGGCUAACUCCGUGCCAGCAGCCGCGGUAAUACGGAGGAUCCGAGCGUUAUCCGGAUUUAUUGGGUUUAAAGGGAGCGUAGGUGGAUUGUUAAGUCAGUUGUGAAAGUUUGCGGCUCAACCGUAAAAUUGCAGUUGAAACUGGCAGUCUUGAGUACAGUAGAGGUGGGCGGAAUUCGUGGUGUAGCGGUGAAAUGCUUAGAUAGCACGAAGAACUCCGAUUGCGAAGGCAGUUCACUGGACUGCAACUGACACUGAGGCUCGAAAGUGUGGGUAUCAAACAGGAUUAGAUACCCCGGUAGUC